UGGGGAAUUUUGGACAAUGGGCGCAAGCCUGAUCCAGCCAUGCCGCGUGCGGGAAGAAGGCCUUCGGGUUGUAAACCGCUUUUGUCAGGGAAGAAAUCCUUUGGGCUAAUACCCCGGGGGGAUGACGGUACCUGAAGAAUAAGCACCGGCUAACUACGUGCCAGCAGCCGCGGUAAUACGUAGGGUGCAAGCGUUAAUCGGAAUUACUGGGCGUAAAGCGUGCGCAGGCGGUUAUAUAAGACAGAUGUGAAAUCCCCGGGCUCAACCUGGGAACUGCAUUUGUGACUGUAUAGCUAGAGUACGGUAGAGGGGGAUGGAAUUCCGCGUGUAGCAGUGAAAUGCGUAGAUAUGCGGAGGAACACCGAUGGCGAAGGCAAUCCCCUGGACCUGUACUGACGCUCAUGCACGAAAGCGUGGGGAGCAAACAGGAUUAGAUACCCUGGUAGUCCACGCCCUAAACGAUGUCAACUGGUUGUUGGGUCUUCACUGACUCAGUAACGAAGCUAACGCGUGAAGUUGACCGCCUGGGGAGUACGGCCGCAAGGUUG
RNAcentral lists this ribosomal RNA (548 nucleotides) under uncultured bacterium. RNAcentral's name for it is "bacterial SSU rRNA". It matches the Rfam family "Bacterial small subunit ribosomal RNA", at positions 355 to 896 of the family's 1533-position model. The record is from RNAcentral.